UUAAGCAUAUCAAUAAGCGGAGGAAAAGAAACCAACAGGGAUUGCCCCAGUAACGGCGAGUGAAGCGGCAACAGCUCAAAUUUGAAAUCUGGCCCCAGGCCCGAGUUGUAAUUUGCAGAGGAUGCUUUUGGCGCGGUGCCUUCCGAGUUCCCUGGAACGGGACGCCAUAGAGGGUGAGAGCCCCGUACGGUUGGACACCAAGCCUUUGUAAAGCUCCUUCGACGAGUCGAGUAGUUUGGGAAUGCUGCUCUAAAUGGGAGGUAUAUUUCUUCUAAAGCUAAAUAUAGGCCAGAGACCGAUAGCGCACAAGUAGAGUGAUCGAAAGAUGAAAAGCACUUUGAAAAGAGGGUUAAACAGCACGUGAAAUUGUUGAAAGGGAAGCGCUUGUGACCAGACUUGCGUCCGGUGAAUCACCCAGCUCUCGCGGCUGGGGCACUUUGCCGGCACAGGCCAGCAUCAGCUCGCUGUCGGGGACAAAAGCUUCGGGAACGUAGCUCUCUUCGGGGAGUGUUAUAGCCCGUUGCAUAAUACCCUUCGGUGGGCUGAGGUACGCGCUCCGCAAGGAUGCUGGCGUAAUGGUCAUCAGCGACCCGUCUUGAAACACGGACCAAGGAGUCAACCUUAUGUGCGAGUGUUUGGGUGUUAAACCCCUACGCGUAAUGAAAGUGAACGCAGGUGAGAGCUUCGGCGCAUCAUCGACCGAUCCUGAUGUUCUCGGACGGAUUUGAGUAAGAGCAUAUAGGGUUGGACCCGAAAGAAGGUGAACUAUGCGUGUAUAGGGUGAAGCCAGAGGAAACUCUGGUGGAGGCUCGCAGCGGUUCUGACGUGCAAAUCGAUCGUCAAAUAUGCGCAUGGGGGCGAAAGACUAAU
This 870-nucleotide ribosomal RNA is filed under the name Colletotrichum spinaciae. RNAcentral describes it as "LSU rRNA". It matches the Rfam family "Eukaryotic large subunit ribosomal RNA", at positions 34 to 935 of the family's 3401-position model. The record is from RNAcentral. Lineage: Eukaryota; Fungi; Ascomycota; Sordariomycetes; Glomerellales; Glomerellaceae.